UUGUCAUAUGCUUGUUUCAAAGAUUAAGCCAUGCAAGUUUAAGUUCUUCUGUUGAUUGGUGAUACCGCGGAAGGCUCAUUAAAUCAGUGAUCGUUUAUUUAUGUGGUUUUCGAUAAGGAUAACUGCGGUAACCCUGCAGAUAAUACUUGUAAAAUCUACUUUAGAUACGGAGGAAGAGAGUUAUAUAUUAAAAGGCCAUUACCUUGAAAAUAGGUAGCUGAUGAAGUUCACAUAAUGACUAAAACCAAUUUAACUUGUCUUAAAGGCAAAACUAAGAAAAUCUCUGACCUAUCAACUAUGGACGGUAGUGUACGGGACUACUGUGGUUUUAACGGGUGACGGAGAAUUAGGGUUCGAUUCCGGAGAGGGAGCCUGAGGAAUGGCUACCACAUCUAAGGGAGGCAGCAGGCGCGCAAAUUACCCAAUCAUAGAACGGGGAGGUAGUGACGAAAAAUAACGAUACGGUGCCUUCGGUAUUGUGAUCGGAAUGAGAUGAACAAAACUACUUCAUCAAGGAUCAAGUGGAGGGCAAGUCUGGUGCCAGCAGCCGCGGUAAUACCAGCCUUCACAAGCAUAUACAAAAGUUGCUGCGCUUGAAAAGCUCGUAGUUGGAUUUGUUGAUGAUAGCAAAGUGUAAUCUAAUAGAGGAAUAACUAUGCUUGUCAUUAUCAAGACGUUGGAUGAGCUUGCACUUAAUUGUGUUGAGUUAAUUAGGCGGAUGAUUCAUUUUGAGUAAAUUAGAGUGUUCAAAGCAGCCCAUGGGUUAGUAUAUUACAGCAUGGAAUGAUGGAGGAAGACGUGAUCUCAAAUUCAUUGGUCGUUGUAGAUUAUGUAAUGGUUGAAAAGGAUAAGCGGGGGUAUUCGAAUUGAUGUGUUAGAGGUGAAAUUCUUGGAUCGCAUCAAGUCCACCUAAUGCGAAAGCAUUUGCCAAGAAUGUUCCUAUUAAUCAAGAACGAUAGUUAGAGUAUUGAAGAGGAUUAGAUACCCUCGUAAUUCUAACCAUAAACGAUACAUACUUGCAACUCGUGAGAGUCGAUAGUAGAUUUCAUGGGGAGUUAUCUGGUAAACCAAAGUAAAUUUGUUCCGGGGGAAGUAUGGUUGCAAAAUCGAAACUUAAAGGAAUUGACGGAAGGGCACCACCAGGAGUGGAGCCUGCGGCUUAAUUUGACUCAACACGGGAAAACUCACCAGGUCCAGACAUGGGAAGGAUUCACAGAUUAGAUCUCUCUGAAGAUUUCUAUGGGUGGUGGUGCAUGGCCGUUCUUAGUUAGUGGAGCGAUUUGUCUGGUUAAUUCCGAUAACGAACGAGAUUCUAUCCAUCUAAAUAGAAUACCCGACUUUAGAUCGGGUUUUCUUCUUAGAGGAACCGUGAGGGAACAUACACCAAGGAAGGGGGGUCAUAACAGGUCUGUGAUGCCCUUAGAUGUCCUGGGCCGCACGCGUGCUACACUGAAUAUCGUAAAGUGAUUAUUUCUUGUCCGGAAUGGUUUGGGCAAUCAUCAAAUGUUUAUUCAUAAUGGGAACCGAUUACUGUAAAUAUUAUUCGCAAACGAGGAAUUCCUAGUAAGCGCUAAUCAACAGUUAGUGUUGAUUAUGUCCCUGCCCUUUGUACACACCGCCCGUCGCUACUACUGAUUGGGCGUUUCAAGUAAGAAUUUCGGACUGAUGAUGUCAUGCUUCGUGCAUGUAAUUGAAGGAAAUGAUUCUAGCUUAAGUGCUUAGAGGAAGUAAAAGUCGUAACAAGGUUUCCGU
This 1752-nucleotide ribosomal RNA is filed under the name Actinoposthia beklemischevi. Its description in RNAcentral is "SSU rRNA". It matches the Rfam family "Eukaryotic small subunit ribosomal RNA". Lineage: Eukaryota; Metazoa; Xenacoelomorpha; Acoela; Childiidae. The record is from RNAcentral.